AGAAGAGCUGUGUCUUCAGGCUGGGAAGGAAGGGAGAACCCGAAAGAGCCCACAGAGGGUCCUAUCACGUUCCUCAAGAAGUGUGUGAUGAAGAUUCUCAACCAGGAAAGAGGUAAAGCACUGGUGAGAACUGUAGCUACACAGAGGGCUUCCCUGGAGGUUCCUACGUGCAGCUCAUUUAUCAUGGCCUUCUGAAACAAGCCUCUCUAGAACAUGGGUUAACACCGCAUAAAGAGGCCAGACCUCCCCUCAAAGCCCCAGCUGGCUGGCCCUAUUCAGCAACCCUGCCCUGAGGCCACUGUGGCUCAGCCUGGGAAAGCUCAUGACCUUCUGGAAGCCGCCCAACCAGGAGGUUGGCCCACUGAGUUUGUAAUCCUAGUUUUAGGCAGGGUAGUCAAUGUCUCCUUAGUGACAGAUCUCAUCUCUCCAGAUCUGAAGGAUGACUCUGAUUUUCACUCUUGAGGACAGUGAGCAAGAAUGUAGUUUGCGCCAGGGUAAAUCUCACCUUGUACUCGUCCACAGCAAUAACCUGUAUCUAAUUACGAUUAGUGUGACAAAGUCUAUGUUGCAAUGUCAUAAAAAGACAGCACAGCACCCGCAGUCUAAUUACUCAACACACCCUCAGUGUAUCUGUCCAUUUACUUUCAUGAUAGUAUCUUUCAGCUCCUAAUCAUGCCUGCCUCUGUUGAGAAGCACUGUGUUUCUGGGCUGAACCUGAAGAGAGAUCAGACAGACCUCCAAGUCUAUCAGAGAGACUUCUUAGCACGUAUUUACUUCCUGACAGGAACAGUGUCCCUGCUGUACUGCACACAGGGCUGGGUGAAGACAGGGCUCAAGGAAGGCUGAACUUUCAGCAGCCUCAGCAUCAUCUUCGCUGGCCGGAGCCUUUCUCUGCUUCCUUUUGGCAGGCAUGAAGUGUGAGCUGCUACCCAGUGACAGAGGAGCAUAAUCUAGGGGUCGGUGACCUUUGUAUUCAUCCCCAGCAUCACCCACCUCUCCAGGAGGACUGGCUGCCACAUUUGCAUGCAUAAUGUGCCCAGAAGCCUUCUUUACAGUGUUUACUUCUCUGUUGCUUCCAAAUGAAAUCACUGAAGGGCAAAUUUGAUUUUCAAAUCAGUUUUAAAACAUCUGCCUUCUAAAAAAGCAAGAGUGGAGAGAUAAGGCUUUGAGAUUACAGGCUCGGGCUAAUUAUUUUAACUGAUACCACUGUGUCCUGGCUAAAAAUAUACAUGCUAGGAUGUCUUUAACGCACAUCCAACACCUACUGGGUGUUAAUAUUUCAUUAGGAGAUAGCAGCCAGGCCUGAGGGUGUGCCUGUGAUUCAGAAGGACAAGGUGGGCCUACGACCCUUCUGCAGAGAAGGACAAGGUGGGCCUACGACCCUUCUGCAGAGAAGGACAAGGUGGGCCUACGACCCUUCUGCAGAGAAGGACAAGGUGGGCCUACGACCCUUCUGCAGAGAAGAACAAGGUGGACCUACGACCUUUCUGCAGAGAAGGACAAGGUGGGCCUACGACCCUUCUGCAGAGAAGGACAAGGUGGACCUACGACCCUUCUGCAGAGAAGGACAAGGUGGACCUACGACCCUUCUGCAGAGAAGGACAAGGUGGACCUACGACCCUUCUGCAGAGAAGAACAAGGUGGACCUACGACCCUUCUGCAGAGAAGGACAAGGUGGGCCUACGACCCUUCUGCAGAGAAGGACAAGGUGGACCUACGACCCUUCUGCAGAGAAGGACAAGGUGGGCCUACGACCCUUCUGCAGAGCCAGCUUUCCUGACCUUGUGCUUCUGGCACCUGUGUCUGUUCCAGCUGACUCUCAGUUUUAGCCAUCACUUCCAGGAGGAGAGCUGUUUAGUAUUUCUCAGGCUGUCCUUUUGUUCUGAGGUUGUGGCUUUGCUCUGGGAGUGGAGCUGUGACCCUUCUGCCGCUUGGGCUCAGGAGAGGAAGGGACAAGAGGUCUCUCCCCCUCCUUAACACACACACACACAUAAAACACACACACUUGCAGCACACAUGUCUGUGGGUAUCUCUACAUCUAUGCAGCCAUGGUAUGCCAGGGCUUUUCAGCCAUGCAUGCAAACAUUAAAAGAAAUGUCAGAGGUAAAUCUAUCCUGUCUUCUGCCCUAUGUGACUAUUGUACAUGUUUAUGUGAGCAUAACAAUACAUUCUUUUAAUAAGCACAGCUCCCCAGAGCCCAGCAUCAAGCUCUGUUUUAGGAGUGGCAUUUUAUAGAUGUGGAGACAGACUCACGGGGAUAGCGGGUGACCUGUCCAGAGACACGGAGCCAGUUCAUGGCACAGCAAGGCUGGCUUCAUCCUUUGUGGCUGGUGAUGCAUCUCCAUCCCAUCCCAAGAGCAUAGUCAGCAGCGUAACAAGCUUGUUGUACAGUCAGCACAAGUGUGACACUCACAUGUACUUCACAUUCACGUGCUGUGCUUUAGCAAGUGACUGCGCCACCCCUGGGCAGACGCCAAGCGCUCUUGCAGGUAUCCAACAUCCAGGAGACAUUCAGUAAACUCCACCACAACACAGGGACUGAACAGCUCUGUUCCUCAGGGAAGCCUGGACUUCAUAUUAUUGUCAAAAGCCAGCUGCAAACCUCAACUCCCUUCCAUAGGCUCUUUAGUUUGGUGCUCAGGAUUUCUGUCUGACACAGCUGAUGUCACAGUGAGUUCCCUGUUAAGUGAACUGGAUGAAUAGUUAGAGGCCCGUAUAAGCUAUGUCUGCUGGUAGGC
Molecule: long non-coding RNA, 2738 nt
Filed under: Mus musculus (house mouse)
Lineage: Eukaryota; Metazoa; Chordata; Mammalia; Rodentia; Muridae
Description: long non-coding RNA chr17:30255793-30258531
Source: RNAcentral